Molecule: ribosomal RNA, 361 nt
Filed under: uncultured archaeon
Lineage: Archaea
Description: bacterial SSU rRNA
Rfam family: Archaeal small subunit ribosomal RNA
Source: RNAcentral
UGGUGCAUGGGCGGCGCCUGGUCGUCCCGAAAGGCGUUCUCUUAGGGGACACAACGAAGGAAACCCUCACCGAACCCUGCUACUUCUUCGUCCGGGGAGGAGGCACAUUGUCGGGACCGCUGGCGCACAGCCGGAGGAAGGACAGGUCAAGGGGAGGUCAAUAUGCCCCGAAUCUCUUGGGCUACUCUUGCGCUACAAAGGGCGGGACAAUGGGCUCCGACGGCGAUAGGACGACGCAAUCCCGAAACCCGCCCGUAACUCGGAUUGAGGGCUGUAACCCGCCCGCAUGAAGCUGGAUUCCGUAUGGAUCGCGAAUCAACAACUCGCGGUGAAUUUGCCCCUGCUCCUUGCACUGCACCGC